GAUUGGCUGCCCCUCCGCAUCCCUAAUGUAAUUAAAACAAGGGGGGGAAAAUUAUCAUGGAGGCAGAGGUUAAUGCAAGUGUUUAGCAGAUGCCUUAUAGUAAAAUCUACAUUAAAAAAGAUAUUAAAAAAAGCAAUAACAACCCCCCCUACAAACUAAUUAAAACUUAAAUAUCGGAUAAUCUCAAAACAGCUUGCUGCCUGCGCCUAUGCAUCUCCACCCGUGUUCACCCAAGUGAUUUAAGCGCCUGAAAUGGGUUUCGUGCCUCUUUAACUGUUAUGAUCGGAAAGUUAAGAAACCGGAAAAUGGAGAACUGAGUGUCAUGUACCUCCCCAGACCUGCUGGAAAACGGAGCCGCGGCCAAAACCUGGGGGUGUAAAUUCGACAACAAAAAUAAACAUUUUA
This is a long non-coding RNA of Corapipo altera (White-ruffed manakin), 405 nucleotides long. RefSeq lists it as uncharacterized. The transcript is spliced from 3 exons. The record is from RefSeq and is a predicted model, not a curated record. NCBI's taxonomy places the organism in Eukaryota, Metazoa, Chordata, Aves, Passeriformes, Pipridae.